UACGUAGGGUGCGAGCGUUAAUCGGAAUUACUGGGCGUAAAGCGUGCGUAGGUGGUGCGUUAAGUCUGUCGUGACAGCCCCGGGCUCACCCUGGGAAUGGCGAUGGAUACUGGCGCGCUAGAGUGCGGUAGAGGAGAGUGGAAUUCCCGGUGUAGCAGUGAAAUGCGUAGAGAUCGGGAGGAACACCAGGUGCGAAGGCGGCUCUCUGGACCAGCACUGACACUGAGGCACGAAAGCGGGGGGAGCAAACAGG
Molecule: ribosomal RNA, 253 nt
Filed under: uncultured bacterium
Lineage: Bacteria
Description: partial 16S ribosomal RNA
Rfam family: Bacterial small subunit ribosomal RNA
Source: RNAcentral